GUGAACGCUGGCGGUAGGCCUAACCCAUGCCAGUCGAACGGCAGCACAGUAAGAGCUUGCUCUUACGGGUGGCGAGUGGCGGACGGGUGAGGAAUACAUCGGAAUCUACUUUUUCGUGGGGGAUAACGUAGGGAAACUUACGCUAAUACCGCAUACGACCUACGGGUGAAAGCAGGGGAUCUUCGGACCUUGCGCGAUUGAAUGAGCCGAUGUCGGAUUAGCUAGUUGGCGGGGUAAAGGCCCACCAAGGCGACGAUCCGUAGCUGGUCUGAGAGGAUGAUCAGCCACACUGGAACUGAGACACGGUCCAGACUCCUACGGGAGGCAGCAGUGGGGAAUAUUGGACAAUGGGCGCAAGCCUGAUCCAGCCAUACCGCGUGGGUGAAGAAGGCCUUCGGGUUGUAAAGCCCUUUUGUUGGGGAAGAAAAGCAGCAGGUUAAUACCCCGCUGUUCUGACGGAACCCAAAGAAUAAGCACCGGCUAACUUCGUG
This 491-nucleotide ribosomal RNA is filed under the name uncultured bacterium. Its description in RNAcentral is "partial 16S ribosomal RNA". It matches the Rfam family "Bacterial small subunit ribosomal RNA", at positions 29 to 507 of the family's 1533-position model. The record is from RNAcentral.